CAGCAGCCGCGGGAAUACGUAGGUGGCAAGCGUUGUCCGGAAUUAUUGGGCGUAAAGGGCUCGCAGGCGGUUUCUUAAGUCUGAUGUGAAAGCCCCCGGCUCAACCGGGGAGGGUCAUUGGAAACUGGGAAACUUGAGUGCAGAAGAGGAGAGUGGAAUUCCACGUGUAGCGGUGAAAUGCGUAGAGAUGUGGAGGAACACCAGUGGCGAAGGCGACUCUCUGGUCUGUAACUGACGCUGAGGAGCGAAAGCGUGGGGAGCGAACAGGAUUAGAUACCCCCGUGUGCCUGUCUCUUAUACA
This 301-nucleotide ribosomal RNA is filed under the name uncultured bacterium. RNAcentral describes it as "partial 16S ribosomal RNA". It matches the Rfam family "Bacterial small subunit ribosomal RNA", at positions 509 to 808 of the family's 1533-position model. The record is from RNAcentral.